RNAcentral lists this ribosomal RNA (300 nucleotides) under uncultured Rhodocista sp. RNAcentral describes it as "bacterial SSU rRNA". It matches the Rfam family "Bacterial small subunit ribosomal RNA", at positions 496 to 795 of the family's 1533-position model. Lineage: Bacteria; Pseudomonadati; Pseudomonadota; Alphaproteobacteria; Rhodospirillales; Azospirillaceae. The record is from RNAcentral.
GUGAACGGCGGGCCAGCGGGCGGGGGAAGGCGUAGGAGGCGAGCGGUGUCCGGAUUCAUUGGGCGGAAAGAGCAGGCAGGGGGGUGGGCAAGUCGGAUGUGAAAACCCGAAGCUCAACUGCGGGCCUGCAUCCGAAACUGCCCGACUAGAGGUAGGUAGGGGAGAUCGGAAUUCCUGGUGUAGCGGUGAAAUGCGCAGAUAUCAGGAGGAACACCGGUGGCGAAGGCGGAUCUCUGGGCCUUACCUGACGCUCAGGUGCGAAAGCUAGGGGAGCGAACAGGAUUAGAUACCCGUGUAGUC